RNAcentral lists this ribosomal RNA (389 nucleotides) under uncultured bacterium. RNAcentral's name for it is "bacterial SSU rRNA". It matches the Rfam family "Bacterial small subunit ribosomal RNA", at positions 29 to 420 of the family's 1533-position model. The record is from RNAcentral.
AUUGAACGCUGGCGGCAUGCCUUACACAUGCAAGUCGAACGGCAGCACGGGAGCAAUCCUGGUGGCGAGUGGCGAACGGGUGAGUAAUAUAUCGGAACGUGCCCGGUCGUGGGGAUAACGUAGCGAAAGCUACGCUAAUACCGCAUACGAUCUACGGAUGAAAGCGGGGGAUCGCAAGACCUCGCGCGAUUGGAGCGGCCGACAUCAGAUUAGGUAGUUGGUGAGGUAAAGGCUCACCAAGCCGACGAUCUGUAGCUGGUCUGAGAGGACGACCAGCCACACUGGGACUGAGACACGGCCCAGACUCCUACGGGAGGCAGCAGUGGGGAAUAUUGGACAAUGGGCGCAAGCCUGAUCCAGCCAUGCCGCGUGUGUGAAGAAGGCCUGGU